This 406-nucleotide ribosomal RNA is filed under the name uncultured bacterium. RNAcentral describes it as "partial 16S ribosomal RNA". It matches the Rfam family "Bacterial small subunit ribosomal RNA", at positions 30 to 526 of the family's 1533-position model. The record is from RNAcentral.
AUUGAACGCUGGCGGCAGGCCUAACACAUGCAAGUCGAGCGAGCGGCGGACGGGUGAGUAAUGUCUGGGAAACUGCCUGAUGGAGGGGGAUAACUACUGGAAACGGUAGCUAAUACCGCAUACUAUCAGAUGUGCCCAGAUGGGAUUAGCUGGUUGGUGGGGUAACGGCUCACCAAGGCGACGAUCCCUAGCUUGUCUGAGAGGAUGACCAGCCACACUGGAACUGAGACAAGGGCCAGACUCCUACGGGAGGCAGCAGUGGGGAAUAGUGCGCAAUGGGCGCAAGCCUGAUGCAGCCAUGCCGCGUGAAUGAAGAAGGCCUUCGGGUUGUAAAGCACUUUCAGCGGGGAGGCGUUAACCGCAGAAGAAGCACCGGCUAACUCCGUGCCAGCAGCCGCGGUAAUAC